Molecule: ribosomal RNA, 465 nt
Filed under: uncultured bacterium
Lineage: Bacteria
Description: partial 16S ribosomal RNA
Rfam family: Bacterial small subunit ribosomal RNA
Source: RNAcentral
CCUACGGGGGGCAGCAGUAGGGAAUCUUCCACAAUGGGCGAAAGCCUGAUGGAGCAACGCCGCGUUGGUGAAGAAGGUCUUCGGAUCGUAAAACCCUGUUGUUAGAGAAGAAAGUGCGUGAGAGUAACUGUUCACGUUUCGACGGUAUCUAACCAGAAAGCCACGGCUAACUACGUGCCAGCAGCCGCGGUAAUACGUAGGUGGCAAGCGUUAUCCGGAUUUAUUGGUCGUAAAGGGAACGCAGGCGGUCUUUUAAGUCUGAUGUGAAAGCCUUCGGCUUAACCGGAGUAGUGCAUUGGAAACUGGGAGACUUGAGUGCAGAAGAGGAGAGUGGAACUCCAUGUGGAGCGGUGAAAGGCGGAGAUAUAUGGAAGAACACCAGUGGCGAAAGCGGCUCUAUGGUCUGUAACUGACGCGGAGGUUCGAAAGCGUGGGUAGCAAACAGGAUUAGAUACCCCUGUAGUC